RNAcentral lists this ribosomal RNA (253 nucleotides) under uncultured bacterium. RNAcentral's name for it is "partial 16S ribosomal RNA". It matches the Rfam family "Bacterial small subunit ribosomal RNA", at positions 524 to 776 of the family's 1533-position model. The record is from RNAcentral.
UACAGAGGGUGCGAGCGUUAAUCGGAAUUACUGGGCGUAAAGCGUGCGUAGACGGUAGCGUAAGUCAGAUGUGAAAGCCCCGGGCUCAACCUGGGAACUGCAUUUGAGACUGCUCUGCUCGGGUGCGGAAGAGGGAAACGGAAUUUCCGGUGUAGCGGUGAAAUGCGUAGAUAUCGGAAGGAACACCAGUGGCGAAAGCGGCUUCCUGGUCCGACACCGACGUUCAGGCACGAAAGCGUGGGGAGCAAACAGG